GCCACAGAAAAAAUAAUAAUAAUAAUCGUUGGCUUCUGAGAUUUGUUACAAGUCACUGAAAAUAGGAACUAUUCAUCAGGUCAGCAACAGGAAAGAUGAAAAGCUGAAAUACAUUUUAAAGUAAUGACAAUUUAAUACUUGUUACAUGUUAAGUUUUGUAAGGAACUAAAGGGCGAGUCCUUCUAACAGGUAACGGAAGUGUAGUGGAUAGAUGUCGAGGUGCCUGUGUCUUUAAGCCACAGCAACGGUGCUGUGCCGCACCUGUAUGACGUCACUAGAUGCGACUGAUUUGUAGCAAUUGUUAGCCUCGGAGCUCCUUUAAAAGCACGGCGCUGGCGAUGCUAAGGUAAGUGGCAGUUUUUGUUGGUUUACUCGUCUACUGUGUGUUUUCGUCCCGUUUGGGUUUUCUCCUGUGAGUCGGAGCCUGUAGAGGUCUGUUCCUUGACUGUAAAGGGUGCAGUUGUUGGAGUCCUGCUCCAGGAGUUUGUUGCUGCUUGUUUGCGCUUAUAGUGCGUAUAUCUCAACUGUGAGUGUUGUAAGCCUGAGGCUGUAUUGCAUCGGUUCCUGUGUGUAGCUCUCUUGGCUCUAGUAUGCCACUUGAUUCACUGUUACCUGCCCCCAUUAGGCUGUGUGGUCAGUUGACUGGGAGGUUUCCCCUAUUUUUUUUAAAAGAAGUUCCUCUGCAUCGCUGCUUGCGGUAUGUCGCUAUGUUAACGCUUAUCUCUUUUUUUUUUUUUUUUUAUCAGCCAGUUACCUAUGAGCUUAUAGGUGCCUCCGGUGUACUUUAUUUAGCAGGUGACUUCUGCUGCUGGUUUGCUGCUGUUGACUUCAAGCCAUUGGGACCGUCUGCUGACGGCAAGCUACUGUUUUGUUUCUAGCGAAUUUCUUUAUUGUUUUGUUUCUUUGGCACUGUGUACUCAGUUUUUUUUUGCAAUUGUUGCGUGCUGUGUACGAUUAGAUCAUCAGCGCGCUAGAAUGAUCAGAGCGGUAAUGUUUGUGCGAGUGUGUGUUUUUGUGGGUAGCUGGUAGCGUGUUUGUGUGUGCGUGUUGGUGUGUGGUGCCAGCGUGUGUUUGUGUGUGCAUGUGAGCAUGUUGGUUUAAUUUUGCUGGUAUAUGUUGUUUUUUUAUUUUAUUUUAUUUUUUUUGUUGUUCCUGAAUUUUUGUUCAUUUCUUUUUGUGUGUUCUGUUUCAGGAGCUGGGGGACGCCAGCAGGGAGGCUUGGCACCUGGUGGCUGGGUACCUGUGUCUGUGUGUGUUUCACCUUUCUGGCAGUGUGGUGUCACCUGGGUGUGCUGUGCAGUGUAUAUGUGUGCGCUUCACGUGUGGUCUUUUUGGACCCUCCUUCCAGAACGCCUCCCUGUGGCCUUUUCAACCAGAGCACUCCAGAACUCGCCUCCCUCCGCCGAGUGCACGAACAGCAGCUUCCCAUCUUUAACCGGCAGCCUGUCAUCAAUCACCACAUCAACCCAUUCACCAAACUGCCAGAACUACAGGAAGAGAGAGAACGAGACAGAGAGAGAUUAUCUCAAAUAUGGAGACAACAACCACCAGGUGGCAGAAUGUCAGUCAUUUGUGGAGUUACAGAACACAGACUGUACACGUACAUGCAUGCACAGGCACGUGCACGCGCACACACACACACACACACACACACACCUGCAUUUCCAUUCUAACCAAACCAGCACUCUUAUGAAUCUCAAUUAACUUUUAAAGUAUCCCCACAGAGGUGCAGUUCACUCAAACAGGAGACAAUUCAGAGCAGAAUUCAAACCAGCACUCGAGCACAGUGAAGCUAGUGGACUAUGUGAAGUGUGUGUGUGGGACAUUUUGCUUGCUUCUGGAACACUUAUGAGAUCUCACUGUCAGCAAGCUAAGCAGGAGUCACAAAUAACCUGAUACACUGUCACACUGAUCUCAUAAUGAAAUACCACGAUCUUGUCAUCUCUAAUCAGCUAUACUCAUCUCUCUCAGCAGGAUGUAUAUGCAGAGUUACGCUGUGUAUCUGGAAAGCUUCAUUCUGACCCUCACUCCUUACUGUACUCCUUCCUACUCCAUGCCAUGUCAUUAAAUCCUUUCUGCUCCAGUGCAUGUUGCUCCAGUGUUGCUUUAUAAUCUUAUUCUUUGGGUUUUGGUGUAUACCAAUAAAUAAAUAGAUUUGUGUGUUGUCAUGUGUGUUCUUCAUACUACACUACCUCCCCAACAGGGUUUUUAUACAGAUAGUACCCUUAGUCCCUGAACUAGUGAACCUGUAUCAGGAUGUAUUUAUUGAUGGAGAUUUCAAAGCACUUCUGUUGCUCUGGAUAAGGGCAUAUGCCAAAUGCUAUAAAUGUAAAUGUCAAUGAUUUAAGAUAGCAAAUUAUCAAAUAAAAUUAGACUUUUGUAUGUGA
This is a long non-coding RNA of Pangasianodon hypophthalmus (striped catfish), 2387 nucleotides long. RefSeq lists it as uncharacterized. The record is from RefSeq and is a predicted model, not a curated record. The transcript has 2 exons. Lineage: Eukaryota; Metazoa; Chordata; Actinopteri; Siluriformes; Pangasiidae.